AGAAAUUCCAAAGGAUAGGAUCAAAAUCAGCAAGGAAUUUUCCAAGGGAUAGCUACUAAUCAAAGAAUCAAUACGGAAUUUCCACUGGCUAGACCAAAAACUGUCAAGGAAUUUCCAUGGGAUGGGUUAAAAGUUCAUAAAAAAUUUGCGGAAAUUCCAUGGGGAUGGCUAAAAUUCAAUAAAAAUCUGCGGAAAUUCCACAGGGGAGGCUCAAAAUUCGCUUAAAAUAUGUGGAAAUUCCAGGGGAGGGGAGACCAAAAAAUGGAUGUCCUCAAU
Molecule: non-coding RNA, 276 nt
Organism: Paramuricea clavata
Lineage: Eukaryota; Metazoa; Cnidaria; Anthozoa; Malacalcyonacea; Plexauridae
Source: the annotation of a GenBank genome assembly